AAUUCAAUUAAAAAUGAUGUCAUAAAUGCUACAUGUGUGACGACAGGUAGUCAAAAUGAGAUGGAGCUUGAAAGAAUCUCUAGUAGUGAUUUACAAGUACCUUAUGGUACAAUGUCGAAUGGUAAAAUGUCGAGUGGUACAAUGUCGAGUGGUACAAUGUCGAGUGGUACAAUGUCGAGUGGUACAAUGUCGAGUGGUACAAUGUCGAGCGGUACAAUGUCUUUUGAUAAAACGUCCUGUGGUGAUGAAAUAUCCAACGAUUGUGUCACUCCCGACGAUAUAGUCACAAACAGUAUCCAACGUCAAAUAGCCGACUUUUUAGUAAAUCACAAAUGGGAUAACAAACAGAAUACUAUAAAUAUGGAUAAAAAUCUUCAACAAUAUCGAUUCAUAUUUUUAUAUUACCUAUUAUAUGUAUAUCCGAAAUUUUUACAUAUUAUGAAAAUUAUUAAAGUUAAAAAUUGUAUGGAAUAUAUGAAGUUUUCUAUACCGGAUAAUGAAGACCAACAUGUAUGUGAUACACAAAAAGAUUAUACAACUCAAAAGAAAACUUUAAAAAGUAUUAAAAAUAAUACAAUUGUUGAAUCUGUGGAUGAAGAUAAAGAAAAAGUAGAUAUUAAAAAAUUAUUCUUACCUAGUUUUAUUAAAAAAAGAACUAAUAAAAAAGAUAUUUUCGUUUUAAAUAAUUUUCUUUUAACAAAUUUAUUAUUAGUUAAUUUUUCUGAAAAAUUACAUUAUGAAUUAUUUAUUAAUGUACUUAACGAAAAUGAUAGUAUGGAUACAAUAAUAAAUGAAAUUCACCCAAUUUGUUUCAAAACAUUAUUAUAUUAUAAAAAAUGUAAUAAUGAUAAUAAUUUUAUAAAAUAUAACUUUACACAAGCACAGCUAGCAACUCUUUUUUUUAUUCUAAAUUCCUACCUUUCUUUUGUAACAACGCCAAACAAUAUAUAUUUUAAUGAACAAAAUAUAUGGAAAUUUUUAAUAUACAAAAAUAGUACAAAAGAAAAAAAUAAAGCAGAACAAUUAAUUUCAAAUGGAGGAUAUUAUUUUCCAUGGAAAUUUUUAAAUAAUUUCUUGCAAACAUUUUUACAUAAAAAAGAAAAUAAAUAUAUAUAUUCAGCACAAAUGGUUGUUAAACUUAUGAUAUAUAUUUUAUUAAUACAAUUAACUAUAACAGAUAAUAAAUUACCAGUACAAUUAGCAUUAGUAAAUAGAAACAUGCGAGCAAUACUACAACCUCUGAAUUUUUCAAUUAUAGAUUCGAGGUUUAUUACAUUCAAUGGACAAUCUAUCGGUUAGGCGUAAAAAAAGGGUUCCUAGCAAGCGAGUGAUCAACCCCAGGAGGGGUACUAUAUGUCAUUUAGUAUAAAUUUAUGUGUGUCUGUGUGUUUGGGGAAAAUUUUCUUUUUAACACUUACUUAUUCUUGUUUAUACCUAUUUAUUGUGUUUUUACACCAGCUUAUUCCUUUUAAUUCGGCUUUUUUAUUUCUUUUAUUUUGUUUAUUUUGUUUAUUUUGUUUAUUUUUCUUAUUUUGUUUAUUUUGUUUAUUUUGUUUAUUUGUUUAGCUUUUAUCUACCCGUUGGUCUUUAAAUUUACUUGCGCUGGCGCUUGCAUUUGUGUUUGUGUUUGUGUUUGUGUUUGCGUUUGCGCUUUCACUUUUACAUUCGAUUUUUUUUU
Piliocolobus tephrosceles (Ugandan red Colobus) is the source of this 1678-nucleotide long non-coding RNA. Lineage: Eukaryota; Metazoa; Chordata; Mammalia; Primates; Cercopithecidae. The record is from Ensembl.